GGAUUAAAACCGAGACUAAUCAAGAAAUAAUAAAGGUGUAUCCGUGUAUGUUACUUGAGAGGUUAAUAAUAUUCUCAAUGGAUCACAAUCUUAUUCAAAAUAAUACAAAUUCAGUACAAGCAUCCACAUUGCAAUAGGUUUGGGUUUUUUCUCCGUUGAAGCUUCAGAGUAUUAUAUUAAUAGUUGUCAAAAGACGCCAAUAGAAGUAUGGUAAAAAUAACUGAGUAAUUGCCAGUUCUCUUCUUGAUUCAUUUUCAACCUUGUUUUCACCUUGCCUUAUAGGUGUUUGUAGUAUUUCCCCACUGAUAGUUACAUACUUACAUUACAAAAUGUUCGUCUGCAUUAGCUUCUCAUUCCUUAUGUCUUCAUCUAUCAAUUUGUCAUAAGCUGUGCUGACAACAUUAAAAGCAUACUAGUAUGAACAGCCAUCAACAUUCAUUUUAGCGAAAACGGGACAGAGGUGCUUUCUGAGGUCCACAAUCCUUCCCUGACCCUGUGUUUCAUCCACACCUUCAUGUCUUGCUGCAGUCAAAAGAUUCAAAGUUCCCAAGUGUUCUUCCGUCGCCAGCGCCACAAGUAAAAGGUGUAAGUAUGCCACAGUGCAAAGACCACACCAUUUGCAACACUAACAGGUCCAAUGGAAGAGCUGUUACUAGGAUUAGCAGUAGACCACAGAAUUUUCCCAUUACUUGCAUCCAUUGCCACCCAACCACCACUAGUUGUAGUUAUGUUUGAUGGUGCAAGAGUGAAAUUUUUGUCGUCAAAGUUCGCAAUGUUGGUGUAAACUCUCUUUUCGUCAGUCGCCGCACCCCAUAUUCCACCUCCUAUUGUUCCACCUGGGCCAGCUUCCUGCAAAAGGGGCAAAAGCAUCAAGAUGUUAUAUUUGUAUUGAUUAGUUAAUACUCUACACUAUAUGUAAAAGUAUUGAAAAUAUGCAUAAAUGUUCAGUAAGUUAUUCAA
Arachis ipaensis is the source of this 960-nucleotide non-coding RNA. The record is from RefSeq and is a predicted model, not a curated record. Lineage: Eukaryota; Viridiplantae; Streptophyta; Magnoliopsida; Fabales; Fabaceae.